This 251-nucleotide ribosomal RNA is filed under the name uncultured prokaryote. RNAcentral describes it as "partial 16S ribosomal RNA". It matches the Rfam family "Bacterial small subunit ribosomal RNA", at positions 525 to 777 of the family's 1533-position model. The record is from RNAcentral.
ACAGAGGGUGCAAGCGUUGUUCGGAAUCACUGGGCGUAGCGCGCGCAGGCGGAUGGUUGCGUCCGGAGUGAAAUUUCGCCGCUCAACGGCGAAGCUGCUUUGGAUACGGACCGUCUAGGGACCGGUAGAGGCUGGUAGAAUUGCAGGUGUAGCGGUGGAAUGCGUAGAGAUCGGGAAGAACAUCGGUGGCGAAGGCGGCCAGCUGGGCCAUUGCUGACGCUGAUGCGCGACAGCGUGGGGAGCAAACAGGA